RNAcentral lists this ribosomal RNA (465 nucleotides) under uncultured bacterium. Its description in RNAcentral is "bacterial SSU rRNA". It matches the Rfam family "Bacterial small subunit ribosomal RNA", at positions 926 to 1391 of the family's 1533-position model. The record is from RNAcentral.
CAAGCGGUGGAGCAUGUGGUUUAAUUCGAUGCAACGCGAAGAACCUUACCUGGUCUUGACAUCCACGGAAUUUUUCAGAGAUGAGAAUGUGCCUUCGGGAACCGUGAGACAGGUGCUGCAUGGCUGUCGUCAGCUCGUGUUGUGAAAUGUUGGGUUAAGUCCCGCAACGAGCGCAACCCUUAUCCUUUGUUGCCAGCGGUCCGGCCGGGAACUCAAAGGAGACUGCCAGUGAUAAACUGGAGGAAGGUGGGGAUGACGUCAAGUCAUCAUGGCCCUUACGACCAGGGCUACACACGUGCUACAAUGGCGCAUACAAAGAGAAGCGACCUCGCGAGAGCAAGCGGACCUCAUAAAGUGCGUCGUACUCCGGAUUGGAGUCUGCAACUCGACUCCAUGAAGUCGGAAUCGCUAGUAAUCGUGGAUCAGAAUGCCACGGUGAAUACGUUCCCGGGCCUUGUACACACC